Apis cerana (Asiatic honeybee) is the source of this 1740-nucleotide RNA transcript. It is a transcript of the gene named increased sodium tolerance 1-like protein, with no coding region annotated. NCBI's taxonomy places the organism in Eukaryota, Metazoa, Arthropoda, Insecta, Hymenoptera, Apidae. The record is from RefSeq and is a predicted model, not a curated record.
AUGUUUUCGAGUGGACCAAAUUAUACCAAAUUAAAAACACAUUUACGUUUAACAAUAAAUCGGCUUAAAUUGCUUGAAAAAAAAAAAACUGAACUUGCCCAGAAAGCACGAAAAGAAAUAGCUGAUUAUCUUGCUGCAGGAAAAAUUGAAAGGGCAAAAAUACGCGUUGAACAUAUUAUUAGAGAAGAUUAUAUGGUUGAAGCAAUGGAAUUGCUUGAAAUGUAUUGUGAUCUUUUACUUGCACGUUUUGGACUUAUUCAACAAAUGAAAAAUUUAGAUGAAGGUUUAGCAGAGGCUAUUUCUACGAUAAUUUGGGCUGCUCCUAGAAUACAAACUGAUGUUCAAGAAAUUAAAGUAAUUGCUGAUAUCUUAACAUCAAAAUAUGGAAAACAAUAUACAGAAGCAUGUAGAGAAGAGGCAAUACAAACUAUUUCUGAAAAAUUGAAACAUAAAAUGAGUGUGCAAUCACCAUCUAAGCUUCUUGUAGAAAAAUAUCUUAUAGAAAUUGCAAAAAAUUAUAAUGUUGAAUAUGAACCAGAUCCACAGGUAAUGAUAGAAGGUCAAGAUGCUUUAUUAAUAGAUGUUGAAAAUAAUACAGAAAGAAACAAUUUAGACAUAGCUUCUGGAGGCAUAACUGUACCACAGCCAGUUGGAUUUAUUGGUUUUCCUCAACCUCCUUUAUUACCAAAUCCUGUAUUUAAUUUAAUUAAUUCAGAAAAAGGAACUAUAGGAUUUGUAACUCCAACAACUUUAGAAAGUAAAGAUCAAAAUGUUCCUUAUAAUCCAAGUAAUGUUUUGUACAACAUUCCUUUAGAUAAUUCUAAUGGAAACAAAUCUGAAAAUAAUCAACCUCUAUCAUAUGAAUCAUUUCCACCUGAUUUAAAUAAACAGUCUGACCAGAAACCAAAACCUCAACCGCGAUCGAAAAUGCCGAUGAAUGAUUUUCAGCUUCCAGAUUUACCAACUGUGCCAUCGGAAAAUAAUUUACCAUCAAAUAAUCCAUCUACUAGUGAAGAUAUUGAUUUUGAUGAUUUAAUGAAACGCUUUGAAGACUUAAAGAAAAGAAAGUAAUUUCUUAGUUGUUUUAAGAUGCAUUACAAAUAUAUAUAUAUUAUAAUACAACAACAAUAUAAUAUUCAAUUUCAUCAAUAUUAUAAAAAACUUAAUAAUUAAUAUAUAAUAGUCUCUCAAUCGUCCAAUUUGAUAAGAAAAAAUGAUUAAUUAAAAGAAUUGGAUAAUAAGAGAUUAAUUCAAUAAUUAAGGUAACAAUCAAUAAAUCGAGAGAUUUUAUUUCUUAGAUCAACAAAUAUAAAUAUAUCUGUAUAAAUCAAUAUAAAUUAUAAAUAAUCUUUAAAGUAUAAUAUAUGCAUUAUCCAAUAUAUAUUUAAAAAAUAAAUAUCAUAAAUAUAUAUUCAGUUGAAUUUUUAGGAAAAAUGUAAAUAAAAUAUGAUAACAAUACAAUUCAAUUAUAUUUCAAAAAUUAUUUUCAUAAGAAUAAAAUUUACUACAUAAUCAUUUUUUAUUUUAUAAUGAGAAGAUAAGAUAAAUGAGGGAUGAAUAUAGUUAUUCACAAAAAUAUGUAGAUAUAUUUUACUUCAACAAUCUAUAUUUAUGUCAAAUUAUUAUAUUAAUAUUACAAAAAAAAAUAAAAGGAAAUUUUAUUUCUUUCAAUAAAGUAUCAGAAAUGUAAAUAAUUUAAUUAAUUUAACAUAAUAAAAUAAUACUAAAAAGUAAAUAAAA